GUGGGGAAUAUUGGACAAUGGGCGAAAGCCUGAUCCAGCCAUGCCGCGUGUGUGAAGAAGGCCUUUUGGUUGUAAAGCACUUUAAGCGAGGAGGAGGCUACCGAGAUUAAUACUCUUGGAUAGUGGACGUUACUCGCAGAAUAAGCACCGGCUAACUCUGUGCCAGCAGCCGCGGUAAUACAGAGGGUGCAAGCGUUAAUCGGAUUUACUGGGCGUAAAGCGCGCGUAGGUGGCCAAUUAAGUCAAAUGUGAAAUCCCCGAGCUUAACUUGGGAAUUGCAUUCGAUACUGGUUGGCUAGAGUAUGGGAGAGGAUGGUAGAAUUCCAGGUGUAGCGGUGAAAUGCGUAGAGAUCUGGAGGAAUACCGAUGGCGAAGGCAGCCAUCUGGCCUAAUACUGACACUGAGGUGCGAAAGCAUGGGGAGCAAACAGGAUUAGAUACCCGGGUAGUCC
Molecule: ribosomal RNA, 451 nt
Filed under: uncultured bacterium
Lineage: Bacteria
Description: partial 16S ribosomal RNA
Rfam family: Bacterial small subunit ribosomal RNA
Source: RNAcentral